GUGCUUGCUUCAACAUCACACAUACAAGAAAUGGAAUGAUACAGAGAUUAGCAUGGGCCCUGCACAAGGGUGACACACAAAUUCGUGAAGUGUUUUGUGCUUUU
Rhinolophus ferrumequinum (greater horseshoe bat) is the source of this 104-nucleotide small nuclear RNA. Lineage: Eukaryota; Metazoa; Chordata; Mammalia; Chiroptera; Rhinolophidae. The record is from Ensembl.